UGAGCCCUGAGCUUGAUAACCUGAGCCAACAGUGUGGAGAAUGCAGCGUUCCUUGUGGACAACAAGCACACGUGUGACCAACGUGUAGAAGCGUCAACCAAAACCAUAAAAUAUCUAAAUGGUCCGCAUGGAGGUUGAAUCGGUCCACAAAUGUCCCCCUGAAUCCGUUGUAGAAAAAUGGGAGGAUUCGAACAAAUCUUGUCAUAAGAAGGCUUAGUAAUAAGCUUUCCCAUAGAACAUGUUUGACAUGC
RNAcentral lists this long non-coding RNA (251 nucleotides) under Malus domestica (apple). Its description in RNAcentral is "long non-coding RNA (MDOM_LNC009945)". Lineage: Eukaryota; Viridiplantae; Streptophyta; Magnoliopsida; Rosales; Rosaceae. The record is from RNAcentral.